This 417-nucleotide transfer-messenger RNA is filed under the name chicken gut metagenome. RNAcentral's name for it is "Alphaproteobacteria transfer-messenger RNA". It matches the Rfam family "Alphaproteobacteria transfer-messenger RNA". From Rfam's summary of the family: Bacterial tmRNA, also known as 10Sa RNA or SsrA, is named for its dual tRNA and mRNA-like properties. Its role is to liberate the mRNA from a stalled ribosome. To accomplish this part of the tmRNA is used as a reading frame that ends in a translation stop signal. The record is from RNAcentral.
UUGAAAAUAAGAUAAUUUAAUAUAUACUAUAAACGUCAGGAAACUGACUACGACACUAGAGGCUGUACGAAAUAGGCUGUUUGGACCUGGGGGCAGUACCCAGCACCUCCACCAAAAAUAACCGGUAAUUAUCGGAAAAUACGGUUAUACAAAUAUCCCGCGGAUAUUUCGCGCCGGACAGAAAUUUUACCGGAACAGACAACAGUUUCCGGGGGUGAAACAGGGUAGACAGGCAGUAGUAAAGGUAUGAUGCUGUGCCCGGUGAGAUACCACCGUUAUCGGUUCAACUUAAAUGAAUGCUAACGAUAAUAACGUAGCACCGGUUGCAAUCGCUGCUUAGUGAACGCAACAAAUCAAAAUUCUUUUGACUUUGGUUAGCCAAAAGUGGGGUUUGGGCCGCCUAGCAACAGAAAGGCC